GUCGAACGAUGAAACUUAGCUGAUUUCUUCGGAAUGAAAUUAAGUGGAUUAGUGGCGAACGGGUGAGUAACACGUGAGUAACCUGCCUUACACAAGGGGAUAGCCUUUGGAAACGAAGAAUAAUACCCUAUAAAGUCAAAAUAUCGCAUGAUAAAGUGACCAAAGAUCUAUCGGUGUAAGAUGGACUUGCGUCUGAUUAGCUAGUUGGUGAGAUAAAAGCCCACCAAGGCGACGAUCAGUAGCCGGCUUGAGAGAGUGUACGGCCACAUUGGGACUGAGACACGGCCCAAACUCCUACGGGAGGCAGCAGUGGGGAAUUUUGCACAAUGGGGGAAACCCUGAUGCAGCGACGCCGCGUGAUUUAGAAGGCCUUCGGGUUGUAAAAAUCUUUUUUAUGGGAUGAAAAUGACAGUACCAUAAGAAUAAGGUCCGGCUAAAUACGUGCCAGCAGCCGCGGUAAUACGUAUGGACCGAGCGUUGUCCGGAAUCAUUGGGCGUAAAGGGUACGUAGGCGGCCUAGUAAGUUAGAAGUGAAAUAAUAUAGCUCAACUAUAUAAAGCUUUUAAAACUGUUAGGCUUGAGAGAUGAAAGGGAAAGUGGAAUUCCUAGUGUAGCGGUGAUAUGCGCAGAUAUUAGGAAGAUACCGGUGGCGAAGGCGACUUUCUGGUCAUCAUCUG
This 677-nucleotide ribosomal RNA is filed under the name uncultured Clostridium sp. Its description in RNAcentral is "bacterial SSU rRNA". It matches the Rfam family "Bacterial small subunit ribosomal RNA", at positions 61 to 742 of the family's 1533-position model. The record is from RNAcentral. Lineage: Bacteria; Bacillati; Bacillota; Clostridia; Eubacteriales; Clostridiaceae.